GCAGUGGUGGUUCAUUGGAAGAAUGCUCACCUUCCCCGUAGGAGACCUGGGUUCCAUUCCUGGCCAGUGCA
This 71-nucleotide transfer RNA is filed under the name Loxodonta africana (African savanna elephant). It matches the Rfam family "tRNA". Rfam says of the family: Transfer RNA (tRNA) molecules are approximately 80 nucleotides in length. Their secondary structure includes four short double-helical elements and three loops (D, anti-codon, and T loops). Lineage: Eukaryota; Metazoa; Chordata; Mammalia; Proboscidea; Elephantidae. The record is from Rfam by way of RNAcentral.